GAUGGAGGGUAGGAGAGCCUUGAGCCUGUGAGAAGAGUCCCCUAGAAUAGAGAAGCUGAGGUUAAAGUUGUGGAAGAGAGUGGGGAUAGCUGAGUGACAGAUAAUCACGAGAAGAAAAGGAGAUCCAGAAUCAUGACAGAGAGAUGACCUUUGCCAAGAGCACAGCCGUCUUUCCCUGUCACAGAGAAGUAGGAGAAAACGAUUGGUUUUCAAGAAUUGGUUUGUAGCACAAUAUUUUAACUAUGUCCUUUAAAAAGUUUCUCCACAGACACUACCCAAAGCAGUCCUUCACUACAGUGGCAGACAGACCUGAAAAUUUUCAUCUGAAGCAGCAGAGUGAACUGCAGAGUCAGGUCACCAACCAGUGUGGAGGCUAACAGCAGGCCUCUUUGGGGAUUCCAGGUGGAAGUGUUGGACAUCUGUAGUAUUCCUGGUCUCGAAUCAUCCUGAUAUUCUUCAUUUUGUUAUUCACAUUGGACUAGGAGAUAGACUCUCACUAUGUUGACCAGGCUGGUCUUGAACUCUUGGCACCCGAGCGAUCCUUUUGCCUGGAAUCCCAAAGUGUCAGAUUUACUGAAGAAUAUUUCAUUGUAAUUACUUUUUAUACUUUAUAGGUCAAGAGCUCUGUUUUAAAGACAAAAUUUAUUGAAUAUGCUUUUUCAAACAAAUUUCACGUUCUAAUCAUUGUAUGAUUUCAGCAUUAAAUGAAACACAGUAAAGAAA
RNAcentral lists this long non-coding RNA (723 nucleotides) under Pongo abelii (Sumatran orangutan). Its description in RNAcentral is "lincRNA". The record is from RNAcentral. Lineage: Eukaryota; Metazoa; Chordata; Mammalia; Primates; Hominidae.